Molecule: small RNA, 100 nt
Filed under: uncultured Ruminococcus sp.
Lineage: Bacteria; Bacillati; Bacillota; Clostridia; Eubacteriales; Oscillospiraceae
Description: RT-5 RNA
Rfam family: RT-5 RNA
About the family: Clostridium (Firmicutes). Environment (Cow rumen (57))
Source: RNAcentral
UGCGUCUGCGAGGGGCGAAGCGCGGUUUUGUAAAAAGACUUUGCAGACAGUCAAAGCCGUGUACAGUCUUGUACAUUAAGCUAACGCUUAAUUGAAAGCU